CCUAUUCCUAUUCCUAUUCGUAUUCCAAAAUCCCUAAAAUCUAAAUCCCUGCAAUUUAAAUCAAACCCCCCAAAUUAAAAUCUCUAAAAUCUAAAUCAAACUCUCCAAUGUUCUUCAUUUCUUCAUCGGUUCACCAGGCUUUCUGAGGUUAGGCAAAUCCCUCACCCGUCUUCAGUCUACGGUCUCCCAUCCCUCCCCUGUUGAAAUUGGUGGUGGAAAUUGCUGCUGGUAUGAGCCUUGAGGUUAUAAUUGUUGCUGCUGCUGCUGCAUAAACUGCAAACAGGAAAGAAGAUUUUAGAUAGUUUGGUUUCCAUUUUAAAGGAGGCAUAUGAGAGAGAAAAAAAGAAAAAGCAAAAGUAAAAUCUAACUUGAAAACUAUCUUCGACGUCGGAGUUUCGAGGUCCGCCAUUUUUCUUUAGCAAUUUUCAUUUCAAUGAUGCUACAUUGUCACGUGCUCAUUUACACUAUUGACAUGUUGUUUUGUUUCUUUAUGUUUUAAGAAUAAUAUGGUGAGUUUUGGAAGUCAAAGCAUAUGGUUUUGGUGGUUCCGAUCUUAAUGGUUGUAAAUACUUAGGUGGUUCUGAUUAUUUGGGUUGUAACGACACCAAGACUUCGUUACAUAGGCAGAUAUGGUGUGUUGCAGGGAUAUUUGCUUGAAAAAUAAACAAGUCUCUUUUCUUAAUUGUCAUCUCUGUUUCUUUUCUUGUCUGCUACUUCUUUAUUUUCUUUCUUGUGUUGUUGUUUCUCUGCUGUUAG
This 756-nucleotide long non-coding RNA is filed under the name Gossypium barbadense (sea-island cotton). Its description in RNAcentral is "long non-coding RNA (GBAR_LNC008810)". Lineage: Eukaryota; Viridiplantae; Streptophyta; Magnoliopsida; Malvales; Malvaceae. The record is from RNAcentral.